GCCCGGUUGGUGAAAUUGGUAGACACGCGGGAUUUAGGUUCCCGUGCCGCAAGGCGUGAGGGUUCGAGUCCCUUGCCGGGCACCA
Molecule: transfer RNA, 85 nt
Filed under: Pseudothauera lacus
Lineage: Bacteria; Pseudomonadati; Pseudomonadota; Betaproteobacteria; Rhodocyclales; Zoogloeaceae
Description: Thauera sp. D20 tRNA-Leu
Rfam family: tRNA
About the family: Transfer RNA (tRNA) molecules are approximately 80 nucleotides in length. Their secondary structure includes four short double-helical elements and three loops (D, anti-codon, and T loops).
Source: RNAcentral